GAUGAAGACGUAGCGAAAUGCGAUACUUGGUGUGAAUUGCAGAAUCCCGUGAACCAUCGAGUCUUUGAACGCAAGUUGCGCCCGAAGCCAUUAGGCCGAGGGCACGCCUGCCUGGGCGUCACACGUCGUUGCCCCCCCAUCUACUCCUUCGGGAUUGCGGGGGGCGGAUGAUGGCCUCCCGUGCGCCUCGUCGCGCGGUUGGCCUAAAUGCCAAGUCCUCGGCGACGCACGCCACGACAAUCGGUGGUUGCGAAACCUCGGUUGCCCGUCGUGUGCGGUCGUCGCGCAUCGAGGGCUCGAAAAAAUUGCCGGGCUUCGGCUCGACUUUCAACGCGACCCCAGGUCAGGCGGGGUUACCCGCUGAAUUUAAGCAUAUCAAUAAGCGGAGGA
RNAcentral lists this unclassified non-coding RNA (390 nucleotides) under soil metagenome. Its description in RNAcentral is "partial contains 5.8S ribosomal RNA, internal transcribed spacer 2, and large subunit ribosomal RNA". The stretch from base 1 to 121 matches the Rfam family "5.8S ribosomal RNA", at positions 35 to 154 of the family's 154-position model. The record is from RNAcentral.